UAUCACAGCCAGCUUUGAGGA
RNAcentral lists this microRNA (21 nucleotides) under Drosophila erecta. RNAcentral describes it as "miR-2b-1-RA". Lineage: Eukaryota; Metazoa; Arthropoda; Insecta; Diptera; Drosophilidae. The record is from RNAcentral. RNAcentral also lists the same sequence under 4 other names.